UGAGUUUUUCAAGGGGAGGGAUUUUACCCCCAGGGGACAGUUGGCAGUGUCUGGAGACGUUUGGGGUUGUCACAACUGGAGGUAGAGGUGUGUGCUACUG
Ceratotherium simum simum (southern white rhinoceros) is the source of this 100-nucleotide non-coding RNA. Lineage: Eukaryota; Metazoa; Chordata; Mammalia; Perissodactyla; Rhinocerotidae. The record is from RefSeq and is a predicted model, not a curated record.